UUGACGCGCAUGAAUGGAUUAACGAGAUUCCCUCUGUCCCUAUCUACAUUCUGGUGAACCCACAGGCAAGGGAACGGACUUGCAUGAACACAGCGGGGAAAGAAGACCCUGUUGAGCUUGACUCUAGUCUGAAUUUGUGCGGAGACAUCGGAGGUGCAGCAUAGGUGGGAGGUGCGCAAGUGCCGAACCAUGAGAUACCACUACUCCCUUCGUCUCCGCCCUCUACUCGGUUCAUGGGUUGAACAAUCCGACGCUUGGCGUCAUGAGCGUUCCGGGGAAUCUGAAUAUUAGCGCAUUGCUAAUUCCGUCCAUGUUUCCUUGACUCAGUUCUGACGCUAGAUGGUGCGGCAUUGAUUGGCUACGGGACCGCCUUCAGGAGCUAACGCAAGUCCCGCUCGAACAGCGAUUGUCGACGAGCUCGAUGUACCGCAUAGCUCAUCUCAUCAUAACAUUAACCGGGCUGCUACUCUAGAAUAGACAGCACCCUAGCGGAUCAGUUGCACCAUUCGGCCGUUGGCGUCACAACGAUGACGAACAUCCUGAUCUGGGCGUGGCAAAAGCGAAGUGACCGUUUGAUAUGAUGCCCGCAAGCGGACAGCAAUCAAAACGAUGCGCGCGCUUCGAGCACACAGUCAAUC
RNAcentral lists this ribosomal RNA (638 nucleotides) under Ptilohyale barbicornis. RNAcentral describes it as "partial 28S rRNA". It matches the Rfam family "Eukaryotic large subunit ribosomal RNA", at positions 2306 to 2613 of the family's 3401-position model. Lineage: Eukaryota; Metazoa; Arthropoda; Malacostraca; Amphipoda; Hyalidae. The record is from RNAcentral.